Molecule: ribosomal RNA, 346 nt
Filed under: uncultured eukaryote
Lineage: Eukaryota
Description: SSU rRNA
Rfam family: Eukaryotic small subunit ribosomal RNA
Source: RNAcentral
AUAGCGUAUAUUAAAGUUGUUGCAGUUAAAAAGCUCGUAGUUGAACCUUGGGCCUGGCUGGCCGGUCCGCCUCACCGCGUGCACUGGUUCGGCCGGGCCUUUCCCUCUGGGGAGCCGCAUGCUCUUCACUGAGUGUGUCGGGGAACCAGGACUUUUACUGUGAAAAAAUUAGAGUGUUCAAAGCAGGCAUUAGCUCGAAUACAUUAGCAUGGAAUAAUAGAAUAGGACGUGUGGUUCUAUUUUGUUGGUUUCUAGGACCAUCGUAAUGAUUAAUAGGGAUAGUCGGGGGCAUCAGUAUUCAAUCGUCAGAGGUGAAAUUCUUGGAUCGAUUGAAGACUAACUACUG